UACGGAGGGGGCUAGCGUUGUUCGGAAUUACUGGGCGUAAAGCGCGCGUAGGCGGACUGGAAAGUUGGGGGUGAAAUCCCGGGGCUCAACCUCGGAACUGCCUUCAAAACUACCAGUCUGGAGUUCGAGAGAGGUGAGUGGAAUUCCGAGUGUAGAGGUGAAAUUCGUAGAUAUUCGGAGGAACACCAGUGGCGAAGGCGGCUCACUGGCUCGAUACUGACGCUGAGGUGCGAAAGCGUGGGGAGCAAAC
RNAcentral lists this ribosomal RNA (250 nucleotides) under uncultured prokaryote. Its description in RNAcentral is "partial 16S ribosomal RNA". It matches the Rfam family "Bacterial small subunit ribosomal RNA", at positions 524 to 773 of the family's 1533-position model. The record is from RNAcentral.